This 1834-nucleotide ribosomal RNA is filed under the name Escherichia coli. RNAcentral's name for it is "partial 23S ribosomal RNA". It matches the Rfam family "Bacterial large subunit ribosomal RNA", at positions 1011 to 2833 of the family's 2925-position model. The record is from RNAcentral. Lineage: Bacteria; Pseudomonadati; Pseudomonadota; Gammaproteobacteria; Enterobacterales; Enterobacteriaceae.
UGAAGAGGGAAACAACCCAGACCGCCAGCUAAGGUCCCAAAGUCAUGGUUAAGUGGGAAACGAUGUGGGAAGGCCCAGACAGCCAGGAUGUUGGCUUAGAAGCAGCCAUCAUUUAAAGAAAGCGUAAUAGCUCACUGGUCGAGUCGGCCUGCGCGGAAGAUGUAACGGGGCUAAACCAUGCACCGAAGCUGCGGCAGCGACACUAUGUGUUGUUGGGUAGGGGAGCGUUCUGUAAGCCUGUGAAGGUGGCCUGUGAGGGUUGCUGGAGGUAUCAGAAGUGCGAAUGCUGACAUAAGUAACGAUAAAGCGGGUGAAAAGCCCGCUCGCCGGAAGACCAAGGGUUCCUGUCCAACGUUAAUCGGGGCAGGGUGAGUCGACCCCUAAGGCGAGGCCGAAAGGCGUAGUCGAUGGGAAACAGGUUAAUAUUCCUGUACUUGGUGUUACUGCGAAGGGGGGACGGAGAAGGCUAUGUUGGCCGGGCGACGGUUGUCCCGGUUUAAGCGUGUAGGCUGGUUUUCCAGGCAAAUCCGGAAAACCAAGGCUGAGGCGUGAUGACGAGGCACUACGGUGCUGAAGCGACAAAUGCCCUGCUUCCAGGAAAAGCCUCUAAGCAUCAGGUAACAUCAAAUCGUACCCCAAACCGACACAGGUGGUCAGGUAGAGAAUACCAAGGCGCUUGAGAGAACUCGGGUGAAGGAACUAGGCAAAAUGGUGCCGUAACUUCGGGAGAAGGCACGCUGAUAUGUAGGUGAAGCGACUUGCUCGUGGAGCUGAAAUCAGUCGAAGAUACCAGCUGGCUGCAACUGUUUAUUAAAAACACAGCACUGUGCAAACACGAAAGUGGACGUAUACGGUGUGACGCCUGCCCGGUGCCGGAAGGUUAAUUGAUGGGGUUAGCGGUAACGCGAAGCUCUUGAUCGAAGCCCCGGUAAACGGCGGCCGUAACUAUAACGGUCCUAAGGUAGCGAAAUUCCUUGUCGGGUAAGUUCCGACCUGCACGAAUGGCGUAAUGAUGGCCAGGCUGUCUCCACCCGAGACUCAGUGAAAUUGAACUCGCUGUGAAGAUGCAGUGUACCCGCGGCAAGACGGAAAGACCCCGUGAACCUUUACUAUAGCUUGACACUGAACAUUGAGCCUUGAUGUGUAGGAUAGGUGGGAGGCUUUGAAGUGUGGACGCCAGUCUGCAUGGAGCCGACCUUGAAAUACCACCCUUUAAUGUUUGAUGUUCUAACGUUGGCCCGUAAUCCGGGUUGCGGACAGUGUCUGGUGGGUAGUUUGACUGGGGCGGUCUCCUCCUAAAGAGUAACGGAGGAGCACGAAGGUUGGCUAAUCCUGGUCGGACAUCAGGAGGUUAGUGCAAUGGCAUAAGCCAGCUUGACUGCGAGCGUGACGGCGCGAGCAGGUGCGAAAGCAGGUCAUAGUGAUCCGGUGGUUCUGAAUGGAAGGGCCAUCGCUCAACGGAUAAAAGGUACUCCGGGGAUAACAGGCUGAUACCGCCCAAGAGUUCAUAUCGACGGCGGUGUUUGGCACCUCGAUGUCGGCUCAUCACAUCCUGGGGCUGAAGUAGGUCCCAAGGGUAUGGCUGUUCGCCAUUUAAAGUGGUACGCGAGCUGGGUUUAGAACGUCGUGAGACAGUUCGGUCCCUAUCUGCCGUGGGCGCUGGAGAACUGAGGGGGGCUGCUCCUAGUACGAGAGGACCGGAGUGGACGCAUCACUGGUGUUCGGGUUGUCAUGCCAAUGGCACUGCCCGGUAGCUAAAUGCGGAAGAGAUAAGUGCUGAAAGCAUCUAAGCACGAAACUUGCCCCGAGAUGAGUUCUCCCUGACUCCUUGAGA